Molecule: small nucleolar RNA, 106 nt
Organism: Cornus florida
Lineage: Eukaryota; Viridiplantae; Streptophyta; Magnoliopsida; Cornales; Cornaceae
Source: RefSeq, a predicted model, not a curated record
AUAUCAUGAUGUGGACACUUUCUCAGAAGAUCAUUGUAUCUCUCCCAAGUAUCAUGGAGUUGUUCACCCGAGAUUUGGGAGAACGCCAUAAUUUCUUUUCUCAUUU